RNAcentral lists this ribosomal RNA (547 nucleotides) under marine sediment bacterium BB0608_AND_2.1_8S0. RNAcentral's name for it is "bacterial SSU rRNA". It matches the Rfam family "Bacterial small subunit ribosomal RNA", at positions 87 to 630 of the family's 1533-position model. The record is from RNAcentral.
GCUGACGAGCGGCGGACGGGUGAGUAAUGCAUAGGAAACUGCCCAGUAGUGGGGGAUAGCCCGGGGAAACCCGGAUUAAUACCGCGUACGCCCUUCGGGGGAAAGCAGGGGAUCUUCGGACCUUGCGCUAUUGGAUGUGCCUAUGUCGGAUUAGCUAGUUGGUGGGGUAAAGGCCUACCAAGGCGACGAUCCGUAGCUGGUCUGAGAGGAUGAUCAGCCACAUCGGGACUGAGACACGGCCCGAACUCCUACGGGAGGCAGCAGUGGGGAAUAUUGGACAAUGGGGGCAACCCUGAUCCAGCCAUGCCGCGUGUGUGAAGAAGGCUUUCGGGUUGUAAAGCACUUUCAGUGAGGAGGAAAACCUUAUGGCUAAUACCCAUGAGGCUUGACGUUACUCACAGAAGAAGCACCGGCUAACUCCGUGCCAGCAGCCGCGGUAAUACGGAGGGUGCAAGCGUUAAUCGGAAUUACUGGGCGUAAAGCGCGCGUAGGUGGUUUGAUAAGCGAGAUGUGAAAGCCCCGGGCUUAACCUGGGAACGGCAUUUCG